CGUCUUGGUUAUUGAUGUUAGAUGCUUGCAUUUAACUGAUUUAACAUUGAGACGAGUGGCGUACUGGUGAGUAACACGUGGGUAACCUGCCCUUGAAGUAGGGGAUAACACUUGGAAACAGGUGCUAAUACCGUAUAACAACCAAAACCACCUGGUUUUGGUUUAAAAGAUGGCUUCGGCUAUCACUUUAGGAUGGACCCGCGGCGUAUUAGCUUGUUGGUAAGGUAACGGCCUACCAAGGCAAUGAUACGUAGCCGACCUGAGAGGGUAAUCGGCCACAUUGGGACUGAGACACGGCCCAAACUCCUACGGGAGGCAGCAGUAGGGAAUCUUCCACAAUGGACGAAAGUCUGAUGGAGCAACGCCGCGUGAGUGAUGAAGGGUUUCGGCUCGUAAAACUCUGUUGUUGGAGAAGAACAGGUGUGAGAGUAACUGUUCACAUCUUGACGGUAUCCAACCAGAAAGCCACGGCUAACUACGUGCCAGCAGCCGCGGUAAUACGUAGGUGGCAAGCGUUGUCCGGAUUUAUUGGGCGUAAAGCGAGCGCAGGCGGUUUCUUAGGUCUGAUGUGAAAGCCUUCGGCUUAACCGGAGAAGUGCAUCGGAAACCAGGAGACUUGAGUGCAGAAGAGGACAGUGGAACUCCAUGUGUAGCGGUGAAAUGCGUAGAUAUAUGGAAGAACACCAGUGGCGAAGGCGGCUGUCUGGUCUGUAACUGACGCUGAGGCUCGAAAGCAUGGGUAGCGAACAGGAUUAGAUACCCUGGUAGUCCAUGCCGUAAA
RNAcentral lists this ribosomal RNA (781 nucleotides) under uncultured bacterium. RNAcentral describes it as "bacterial SSU rRNA". It matches the Rfam family "Bacterial small subunit ribosomal RNA", at positions 40 to 806 of the family's 1533-position model. The record is from RNAcentral.